UACGUAGGGACCGAGCGUUGUCCGGAUUCAUUGGGCGUAAAGAGCGUGUAGGCGGUCCGGUAAGUCCGCUGUGAAAGUCGGGGGCUCAACCCUCGAAUGCCGGUGGAUACUGUCGGGCUAGAGUGCGGAAGAGGCGAGUGGAAUUCCUGGUGUAGCGGUGAAAUGCGCAGAUUUCAGGAGGAACACCUAUUGCGAAGGCAGCUCGCUGGGACGUAACUGACGCUGAGACGCGAAAGCGUGGGGAGCAAACAGG
This 253-nucleotide ribosomal RNA is filed under the name uncultured bacterium. Its description in RNAcentral is "partial 16S ribosomal RNA". It matches the Rfam family "Bacterial small subunit ribosomal RNA", at positions 524 to 776 of the family's 1533-position model. The record is from RNAcentral.